GCCACCCUAGCUCAGUUGGUAGAGCAAUGCUUUCGUAAAGCAUAGGUCGUCGGUUCGAAUCCGAUGGGUGGCU
RNAcentral lists this transfer RNA (73 nucleotides) under Poriferisphaera corsica. It matches the Rfam family "tRNA". From Rfam's summary of the family: Transfer RNA (tRNA) molecules are approximately 80 nucleotides in length. Their secondary structure includes four short double-helical elements and three loops (D, anti-codon, and T loops). Lineage: Bacteria; Pseudomonadati; Planctomycetota; Phycisphaerae; Phycisphaerales; Phycisphaeraceae. The record is from Rfam by way of RNAcentral.